This 592-nucleotide ribosomal RNA is filed under the name Staphylococcus aureus. RNAcentral's name for it is "partial 23S ribosomal RNA". It matches the Rfam family "Bacterial large subunit ribosomal RNA", at positions 391 to 985 of the family's 2925-position model. The record is from RNAcentral. Lineage: Bacteria; Bacillati; Bacillota; Bacilli; Caryophanales; Staphylococcaceae.
UCUCUCUUGAGUGGAUCCUGAGUACGACGGAGCACGUGAAAUUCCGUCGGAAUCUGGGAGGACCAUCUCCUAAGGCUAAAUACUCUCUAGUGACCGAUAGUGAACCAGUACCGUGAGGGAAAGGUGAAAAGCACCCCGGAAGGGGAGUGAAAUAGAACCUGAAACCGUGUGCUUACAAGUAGUCAGAGCCCGUUAAUGGGUGAUGGCGUGCCUUUUGUAGAAUGAACCGGCGAGUUACGAUUUGAUGCAAGGUUAAGCAGUAAAUGUGGAGCCGUAGCGAAAGCGAGUCUGAAUAGGGCGUUUAGUAUUUGGUCGUAGACCCGAAACCAGGUGAUCUACCCUUGGUCAGGUUGAAGUUCAGGUAACACUGAAUGGAGGACCGAACCGACUUACGUUGAAAAGUGAGCGGAUGAACUGAGGGUAGCGGAGAAAUUCCAAUCGAACCUGGAGAUAGCUGGUUCUCUCCGAAAUAGCUUUAGGGCUAGCCUCAAGUGAUGAUUAUUGGAGGUAGAGCACUGUUUGGACGAGGGGCCCCUCUCGGGUUACCGAAUUCAGACAAACUCCGAAUGCCAAUUAAUUUAACUUGGGAGUC